GACGAACGCUGGCGGCGUGCUUAACACAUGCAAGUCGAACGGAAAGGCCCUGCUUUUGUGGGGUGCUCGAGUGGCGAACGGGUGAGUAACACGUUAGUAACCUUCCCUUUACUUUGGGAUAACUUCAGGAAACUGGGGCUAAUACCGGAUAGGAGCUCCUGCUGCAUGGUGGGGGUUGGAAAGUUUCGGCGGUUGGGGAUGGACUCGCGGCUUAUCAGCUUGUUGGUGGGGUAGUGGCUUACCAAGGCUUUGACGGGUAGCCGGCCUGAGAGGGUGACCGGCCACAUUGGGACUGAGAUACGGCCCAGACUCCUACGGGAGGCAGCAGUGGGGAAUAUUGCACAAUGGGCGGAAGCCUGAUGCAGAAACGCCGCGUGCGGGAUGACGGCCUUCGGGUUGUAAACCGCUUUCGCCUGUGACGAAGCGUGAGUGACGGUAAUGGGUAAAGAAGCACCGGCUAACUACGUG
RNAcentral lists this ribosomal RNA (468 nucleotides) under uncultured bacterium. RNAcentral's name for it is "partial 16S ribosomal RNA". It matches the Rfam family "Bacterial small subunit ribosomal RNA", at positions 28 to 507 of the family's 1533-position model. The record is from RNAcentral.